UUUUUUUUUUUUUUUUUUUGAAGUACAUGUUCAUUGCCUAUAUAUAUAAGAUCAUUUAAUUGCAGAAGAACAGACUACUUUCAGAACAUUUAAAACACACUGAGCAGAUACAUAAACAAUUUCAUCAUGUCUCCACCUUAAUGCCUUCAGAUGUUAACAUCGCAACUUAGCUACAUUUCAUACAGUAAAUAUAUUUGCUGUGUCUCUGGGGAGCACAAGCACAUGGUGAAUUACAUUACAUCUAAAAGGUUCACAAAGGUGGUUUUUAGAAGCAAACUUGACAGGAACAAAGAAUUUUAUAAACAAGUUCUCAAAACUUUGGUAAAAGUUUAUAGAAGCUAUGAGAUUUUAAACUUUAGUCAUGUAUUUUUCACUGGAGAUAAAGACAACGGUGCUCAAUUCAAUAAUCAUUUGCAAGUUUUUCUUACCAAAAAGUUGUAAUAAUUAUAAGCACAAGCUUUGUUAAAAUUGGAACAAUAAGAAUUGAGCACAAACUUUGUUAAAAAUAUAUAUACGACGCACGUAGACAAUCUAAGGGAAACUAAAUACCAUGCAUCAGGUGCCUGGUAGUG
This 572-nucleotide unclassified non-coding RNA is filed under the name Hevea brasiliensis (rubber tree). The record is from RNAcentral. Lineage: Eukaryota; Viridiplantae; Streptophyta; Magnoliopsida; Malpighiales; Euphorbiaceae.